CUACGGGGUGCUCCAGUCGAGAAUCUUCGGCAAUGGACGAAAGUCUGACCGAGCGACGCCGCGUGCGGGAUGAAGGCCUUCGGGUUGUAAACCGCUGUCAGAGGGAAGUAAAUUUUGACCGAUCCUCAAAGGAAGUACAGGCUAAGUUCGUGCCAGCAGCCGCGGUAAGACGAACCGUACAAACGUUAUUCGGAAUCACUGGGCUUAAAGGGUGCGUAGGUGGUCUAUUAAGUUGGGUGUGAAAUCCCUCGGCUCAGCCGAGGAACUGCGCUCAAUACUGGUAGACUUGAGGGAGAUAGAGGUGAGCGGAACUGAUGGUGGAGCGGUGAAAUGCGUUGAUAUCAUCGGGAACACCUGUGGCGAAAGCGGCUCACUGGAUCUCUUCUGACACUGAGGCACGAAAGCUAGGGGAGCGAACGGGAUUAGAUACCCGUGUAGUC
RNAcentral lists this ribosomal RNA (440 nucleotides) under uncultured bacterium. RNAcentral's name for it is "partial 16S ribosomal RNA". It matches the Rfam family "Bacterial small subunit ribosomal RNA", at positions 339 to 795 of the family's 1533-position model. The record is from RNAcentral.